AGCGAACGCUGGCGGCAGGCUUAACACAUGCAAGUCGAGCGGGCGUAGCAAUACGUCAGCGGCAGACGGGUGAGUAACGCGUGGGAACGUACCUUUUGGUUCGGAACAACACAGGGAAACUUGUGCUAAUACCGGAUAAGCCCUUACGGGGAAAGAUUUAUCGCCGAAAGAUCGGCCCGCGUCUGAUUAGCUAGUUGGUGUGGUAACGGCGCACCAAGGCGACGAUCAGUAGCUGGCUGAGAGGAUGAUCAGCCACAUUGGGACUGAGACACGACCCAAACUCCUACGGGAGGCAGCAGUGGGGAAUAUUGGACAAUGGGCGCAAGCCUGAUCCAGCCAUGCCGCGUGAGUGAUGAAGGCCCUAGGGUUGUAAAGCUCUUUUGUGCGGGGAAGAUAAUGACGGUACCGCAAGAACAAGCCCCGGCUAACUUCGUGCCAGCAGCCGCGGUAAC
RNAcentral lists this ribosomal RNA (452 nucleotides) under uncultured bacterium. RNAcentral describes it as "bacterial SSU rRNA". It matches the Rfam family "Bacterial small subunit ribosomal RNA", at positions 29 to 524 of the family's 1533-position model. The record is from RNAcentral.